AUGGACAUGGGAGGAGGGCACGCCAUGGGCACGGGCAUGGGCGGCGCCGCCCCGGCGGCGGCGGCGGCGCACGGGGGCAUGCGGAUGCACUACAUGCACAUGACCUUCUACUGGGGCAAGAACUCGGAGAUCCUCUUCCACGGGUGGCCCGGCUCGAGCGGCGGCAUGUACGCGCUCGCGCUCCUCGUCGUCUUCGCGCUCGCCGUGCUCGUGGAGUGCCUCUCCUCCUGCCGCUGGCUCGAGUCCCGCCUCUCCUCCCGCGACCGGCCCGUGGCGGCGGGGGCGGCGCGCGCCGCCGUGCACGCGCUGCGCGUCGGGAUGGCGUACGUCCUCAUGCUCGCGCUCAUGUCGUUCAACGUCGGCGUGCUCCUCGUGGCAGUCGCCGGCCACGCGGUGGGGUUCCUUCUGUUCAGGGCCGGCCUGUUCGGCGGACAGGCGCAGGUGGAGGACGGGGCCAAGGACUACCUGGCGCCGGCGGCGUGCUGCUAG
Molecule: ribosomal RNA, 489 nt
Filed under: Triticum aestivum (bread wheat)
Lineage: Eukaryota; Viridiplantae; Streptophyta; Magnoliopsida; Poales; Poaceae
Description: partial small subunit ribosomal RNA
Source: RNAcentral